UUUACCUGGUUGAUCCUGCCAGUAGUCAUAUGCUUGUCUCAAAGAUUAAGCCAUGCAUGUCUAAGUACAGGCCGAAACAAGGCGAAACCGCGAAUGGCUCAUUAAAUCAGUUAUGGUUCAUUGGAUCUUACCUUGUUUUACUUGGAUAACUGUGGUAAUUCUAGAGCUAAUACGUGAUACCCCAGCUCCGACCGCAAGGAAAGAGCGCUUUUAUUAGAUCAAAACCAAUCGGGCUUCGGUCCGUUCUCACUGUGGUGACUCUGAAUAACUUUGAGCUGAGCGCAUGGUCUUCGAACCGGCGCCAUAUCCUUCAAGUGUCUGCCUUAUCAGCUUUCGAUUGUAGGUUAUGCGCCUACAAUGGCUAUAACGGGUAACGGGGAAUCAGGGUUCGAUUCCGGAGAGGGAGCCUGAGAAACGGCUACCACAUCUAAGGAAGGCAGCAGGCACGCAAAUUACCCACUCCCGGCCCGGGGAGGUAGUGACGAAAAAUAACGAUGCGGGACUCUUCCGAGGCCUCGCAAUCGGAAUGAGCACACUUUAAAUCCUUUAACGAGGAUCUAUUGGAGGGCAAGUCUGGUGCCAGCAGCCGCGGUAAUUCCAGCUCCAAUAGCGUAUAUUAAAGUUGCUGCGGUUAAAAAGCUCGUAGUUGGAUCUCAGUUCCGGACCGACGGUUCACCGCCCGGUGCUUACUGUCGGCUUCCGAACAGCCGCACGCCGGCUCGGCCAGGGUGCUCUUCAUCGAGUGUCCUGGUUUCGGCCGGCACGUUUACUUUGAAAAAAUUAGAGUGCUCAGCGCAGGCUGCAACGCCUGAAUAAUCUGUGCAUGGAAUAAUGGAAUAGGACCUCGGUUCUAUUUUGUUGGUUUUCGGAACCCGAGGUAAUGAUUAAUAGGAACUGUCGGGGGCAUUCGUAUUGCGACGUUAGAGGUGAAAUUCUUGGAUCGUCGCAAGACGGACUACUGCGAAAGCAUUUGCCAAGAAUGUUUUCAUUAAUCAAGAACGAAAGUUAGAGGUUCGAAGGCGAUCAGAUACCGCCCUAGUUCUAACCAUAAACGAUGCCAACCAGCGAUCCGCCGGCGUUAUUCCCAUGACUCGGCGGGCAGCUUCCGGGAAACCAAAGUCUCUGGGUUCCGGGGGAAGUAUGGUUGCAAAGCUGAAACUUAAAGGAAUUGACGGAAGGGCACCACCAGGAGUGGAGCCUGCGGCUUAAUUUGACUCAACACGGGGAACCUCACCAGGCCCGGACACCGGAAGGAUUGACAGAUUGAGAGCUCUUUCUCGAUUCGGUGGGUGGGGGUGCAUGGCCGUU
RNAcentral lists this ribosomal RNA (1308 nucleotides) under Paraiberobathynella cf. fagei ABI-2012. Its description in RNAcentral is "SSU rRNA". It matches the Rfam family "Eukaryotic small subunit ribosomal RNA", at positions 1 to 1292 of the family's 1831-position model. Lineage: Eukaryota; Metazoa; Arthropoda; Malacostraca; Bathynellacea; Parabathynellidae. The record is from RNAcentral.